Molecule: ribosomal RNA, 253 nt
Filed under: uncultured bacterium
Lineage: Bacteria
Description: partial 16S ribosomal RNA
Rfam family: Bacterial small subunit ribosomal RNA
Source: RNAcentral
UACAGAGGGUGCGAGCGUUAAUCGGAAUUACUGGGCGUAAAGGGUGCGUAGGUGGUUACGUAAGUUAGGUGUGAAAGCCCCGGGCUUAACCUGGGAAUUGCGCUUGAUACUGCGUGGCUAGAGUACUGUAGAGGAAGGUGGAAUUUCCAGUGUAGCGGUGAAAUGCGUAGAUAUUGGAAGGAACAUCGGUGGCGAAGGCGACUUUCUGGACAGAUACUGACACUGAGGCACGAAAGCAUGGGGAGCAAACAGG